Grus americana (Whooping crane) is the source of this 2167-nucleotide RNA transcript. It is a transcript of the gene named ubiquitin like domain containing CTD phosphatase 1, with no coding region annotated. The record is from RefSeq and is a predicted model, not a curated record. Lineage: Eukaryota; Metazoa; Chordata; Aves; Gruiformes; Gruidae. The transcript has 11 exons.
AUUUUUCAGAAAAUAAUACUGAACAUAUGCUUCAAGGAUGUCUCUCUCUCUCAUAAUAAAAUGGGGUGGACAGGAGUAUACGAUAACCUCUCUCUCAGAAGAAGACACAGUGUUGGAUCUGAAGCAAUCUCUUAAAGGCCUUACUGGAGUGUUACCAGAGCGUCAAAAACUACUUGGACUUAAAAUGAAGGGCAAACCUGCAGAUGAUGAUGUUAAGCUUGGAGCUCUCAAGUUGAAACCAAAUACUAAAAUAAUGAUGAUGGGCACUCGUGAAGAGAGUUUGGAAGAUGUCCUUGGGCCACCUCCUGAUAAUGAUGAUGUUGUCAAUGACUUUGAUAUUGAAGAGGAAGUUGUGGAAGUAGAAAACAGGGAAGAAAAUCUACUAAAAAUUUCCCGCAGAGUUAAAGAAUACAAAGUGGAAAUUCUGAAUCCUCCUAGAGAAGGAAAAAAGCUGCUGGUGCUAGAUGUUGAUUAUACACUAUUUGACCACAGAUCAUGUGCUGAAACUGGGGUAGAACUGAUGAGGCCAUACCUUCAUGAAUUCCUGACAUCUGCAUAUGAGGAUUAUGACAUUGUAAUUUGGUCUGCUACUAAUAUGAAGUGGAUUGAAGCUAAAAUGAAAGAGCUUGGCGUGAGUACCAAUGCAAACUACAAGAUAACUUUCAUGUUGGACAGUGCUGCCAUGAUAACAGUGCACACUCCUAGGAGAGGACUAAUAGAUGUGAAGCCGCUUGGUGUUAUCUGGGGAAAAUUUUCGGAAUAUUACAGCAAAAAAAAUACUAUUAUGUUUGAUGAUAUCGGCCGAAACUUCCUAAUGAAUCCACAAAAUGGACUCAAGGGUAUCUGCAUAAAGACCAGAAACAACUGAGCUGAUGAACUUUGAUGUCACUUACAGUAUUCAGGACCGUCGGUUGUUUUCAAUGAAGCAAUUAUGCUUCCUAAAGGGAAAAGAAUUUUUGAAGGAACCUGAUCCCUGGAAAUCUCUCUUUCCACCCCUACAAAGUUAGGCUGUCAGUUCAGAUCUAAGGUCCUUCGUUACGAGGCAACUUUUCUGGUGGUUACUUCAGAGGUUUGGGGUGUUACCGUGUGGUUCUUGGGCACUAUCCAAGUUGUGUGGUAUUACGGUAUUCAUCGGCUCUGAAAUGUAUCUUUCAAAGAAGCAAGGACAAUAACACUAAUAAAAUUGUGUGGCACUGAAUUGAAGGGAACGUAACUAAGAUCAUUGGACUUUUCCUUGCUUUUACGCUAGAGUAUAAUAGUGCUGGACACUGGAUCCAAUGCCAGAAUGACUGCUAUACUUGGUCUUCCAGGUGGUUGGUUGUGGGUUUUUUUUAAAAGAUCACAGCAAUAAGCUCAAAGUGGGAGAAACAAGUCAGUUACUUUUUCUUGCAUUCAGUUCUGGUGUUACUACUUAAAAUACUUUCCUCUCCUUUGCUGCCGAAGUACAACCAUAACCAUUAAAGACCAAAACCAUUCUGAAAUUAGAAAAAAAAAUAUUUAGACCAAAAAAGUUGAGUAAGGAGCCAACCUUGGCAGUGUAUGAAUUGUAUAAGCCCUCUAUUCCCUCCAUCUUUAGAAACAGUCUCCCUCUCCUGUUCCAGUAUUUAAGUCUAUAAAUUACAAGUUGUCUAAGUUUGGUAUGUAUUAGUAUGUCAGUGUUUCUCUGUGCAAGACAGUAAGAUGGGAAAGUACCACCUCUGUGGCCAAUUUACCCCAGUGUGUGAACUUGUACUAUAAAGCAGUGUUUACUGGAAAACAAAAGAUUGAAGUUUGAGGGAGAGAAACCCACUCUUAUUUGAUAAGUGAAAAGCAGUCUGCCUGAAAAAUUCUCAUGUGUCAGAUAAAGGGUUUAAUCCUCAGAUGGGAAAGUCACAUUCCUAACAAAGCAUGAACAAAACCCUUGUUCUCUUCUAGCUAAAUCUCAUCAAAGUGCAAACACUGUGUUUAAAUACAAUAUUCAGCCAUACUGUUCUUAAAAUAUCAUUUACUUGCGCUGCUUAUGCCUGCACUAUAGAAGUGUGAUGUGACUGCUGUUUGGCAUUACCAACACUUGUGCAUUAUGCAGUUCAUGUAUUUGAAAGAAGACUGACCCUUUCAAAUAAAAAUGGUAUAUAUUGUUCUUAAGGAACUAUAGCAGUUGUGUAAAUAAUAAAUACCUUUUUCAUAA